AUUGAACGCUGGCGGUAGGCCUAACACAUGCAAGUCGAACGCGAAAGUCCUUCGGGAUGAGUAGAGUGGCGGACGGGUGAGUAACGCGUAGGAAUCUAUCCUGUAGUGGGGGAUAACGUUUCGAAAGGAACGCUAAUACCGCAUACGCCCUACGGGGAAAGGACGGGGGAGUCUUCGGACCUCGUGCUAGAGGAGGAGCCUGCGUCGGAUUAGCUAGUUGGUGAGGUAAAGGACUCACCAAGGCGACGAUCCGUAGCUGGUCUGAGAGGAUGAUCAGCCACACCGGAACUGAGACACGGUCCGGACUCCUACGGGAGGCAGCAGUGGGGAAUAUUGCGCAAUGGGCGAAAGCCUGACGCAGCCAUACCGCGUGUGUGAAGAAGGCC
RNAcentral lists this ribosomal RNA (386 nucleotides) under uncultured bacterium. RNAcentral describes it as "bacterial SSU rRNA". It matches the Rfam family "Bacterial small subunit ribosomal RNA", at positions 29 to 416 of the family's 1533-position model. The record is from RNAcentral.